GUUGUCGACACUUUUUCUUUAGACCCAAAUUCCAAACAAUAACCCUUGUAAAUGAGGAAAUUAAGUGACAACUUUGUAUACUGUCAUCAGGAAUCAAUUCAAAGGCUCUAAAAUUUAUGAAUACGAAUGUCUCAGUCAGGGCUGGCUCACUGCUGAGACAACCAGUGGGUAACACAGUGAAAGACUGUGGUUGGCCAGCUCUCUUCUGAGGGAAACUUAAGGACUCCAGCUCCUGCUGUCCUGUAGCUUGGGCCUCCUCUGGUGUUUGGAGUGUUCUCCACUCAGUUGAUUGAUGGGCCUCAGAAGGGAGCAUUUAGCUUAGGAGGUUUUAGUGGGGCAGUCCUGGCCCUGGUACUCAUCACUUCUGUUCACAUUCCAUUGGCCAGAACUCAGUCAUGUGGCCACACCUAACUACAAGGGAGUCUGGGAAAUGUAGUCUGGCUGGAUGCCCAGGAAGAGGAGGUGAAGACCAGCCAUUCCUGCCAACUCUGCCAAAAGGAAGAACUAUGGCACCGUUUCAGGAACUGUAGUGCAUUGUGAAAAGUCAAGGAAACAAGUGAUAUGAAGAAGAAAGCAAACACUCCUUACAGCUCCCAGCCCAGUGGUUCAGCUCAUGUGAAAAUGACUGUGCUGUUGACGCCAGUGUGGUUCCACGGCAGCCUCGCCUGCCGCAGUACCUUCCAUCUCCGCCACCUCUGCCAGCACGUCACCCCAGAGGAUCUGUCGAGGACUCGAAUUUGUGGGCAAGCAGAGCAGGCGAUUGACUUGUCCUCAGCACAUCUCCUGGCCCAUAUACACAGCGGUCCUGGACUUAGCGCCUGCAAAAGGAAACCCCAAAACUCAGCUGCCUUGUCCCGUGUCAGUUUACAUUCAUGCACAAAAGUGGCCCUACUUCUAAGGUCAUCUGUGAGGCCUCCUGCUUCCCGGGAGGUCAGAUAACUAUGAAGUCCAUGAUUGCUUUGAUGGGGACUUUUACACUGAAUCUUGAAUUUACGAUGGAAGGAAAGUUUUUCUUCUUUUUGUUAGUGAUCUGAAAUGUUUGAUGGCCCCUCUAAGGGAAUACUGUAGGGUUUUAGCUAGUCAUGAGCACAGGGGAGAUGUAAUGACACUCAUUUGCCUGGUAAAAUCUAAAUGCUGAUAGCAGCUGUUUUAAAUUCCGUGAA
Molecule: long non-coding RNA, 1163 nt
Organism: Myotis lucifugus (little brown bat)
Lineage: Eukaryota; Metazoa; Chordata; Mammalia; Chiroptera; Vespertilionidae
Exons: 2
Source: RefSeq, a predicted model, not a curated record